Molecule: transfer RNA, 89 nt
Filed under: Eremococcus coleocola ACS-139-V-Col8
Lineage: Bacteria; Bacillati; Bacillota; Bacilli; Lactobacillales; Aerococcaceae
Description: tRNA-Leu
Rfam family: tRNA
About the family: Transfer RNA (tRNA) molecules are approximately 80 nucleotides in length. Their secondary structure includes four short double-helical elements and three loops (D, anti-codon, and T loops).
Source: RNAcentral
GCCGGAGUGGCGGAAUAGGCAGACGCACAGGACUUAAAAUCCUGCGGAGGUUACACUCCGUAUCGGUUCGACUCCGAUCUUCGGCACUA